CUGUGAGACAGGUGCUGCAUGGCUGUCGUCAGCUCGUGUUGUGAAAUGUUGGGUUAAGUCCCGCAACGAGCGCAACCCUUAUCCUUUGUUGCCAGCGGUCCGGCCGGGAACUCAAAGGAGACUGCCAGUGAUAAACUGGAGGAAGGUGGGGAUGACGUCAAGUCAUCAUGCCCUUACGACCAGGGCUACACACGUGCUACAAUGGCAUAUACAAAGAGAAGCGACCUCGCGAGAGCAAGCGGACCUCAUAAAGUAUGUCGUAGUCCGG
This 268-nucleotide ribosomal RNA is filed under the name Klebsiella pneumoniae. RNAcentral describes it as "partial 16S ribosomal RNA". It matches the Rfam family "Bacterial small subunit ribosomal RNA", at positions 1027 to 1296 of the family's 1533-position model. Lineage: Bacteria; Pseudomonadati; Pseudomonadota; Gammaproteobacteria; Enterobacterales; Enterobacteriaceae. The record is from RNAcentral.